This 253-nucleotide ribosomal RNA is filed under the name uncultured bacterium. Its description in RNAcentral is "partial 16S ribosomal RNA". It matches the Rfam family "Bacterial small subunit ribosomal RNA", at positions 524 to 776 of the family's 1533-position model. The record is from RNAcentral.
UACGAAGGGGGCUAGCGUUGCUCGGAUUCACUGGGCGUAAAGGGUGCGUAGGCGGGUCUUUAAGUCAGGGGUGAAAUCCUGGAGCUCAACUCCAGAACUGCCUUUGAUACUGAAGAUCUUGAGUUCGGGAGAGGUGAGUGGAACUGCGAGUGUAGAGGUGAAAUUCGUAGAUAUUCGCAAGAACACCAGUGGCGAAGGCGGCUCACUGGCCCGAUACUGACGCUGAGGCACGAAAGCGUGGGGAGCAAACAGG